Molecule: long non-coding RNA, 721 nt
Filed under: Eucalyptus grandis
Lineage: Eukaryota; Viridiplantae; Streptophyta; Magnoliopsida; Myrtales; Myrtaceae
Description: long non-coding RNA (EGRA_LNC005610)
Source: RNAcentral
UGUUCACAACAUAUCCGAAGGUGAUCAUCAGGCCCUCCACCGCAAAACAAGCAGACUAUGAGCCUCAAAUUUAUGGAUUAUGAAUGCUUCACUGAAGUUCUAUUCAAUAGGGAUAAGUUCAUCAAUGCAGAUUGUUCAACUAAUUUUUCUUGAGGACUUUUUGGUACACCAAAUUUUUGGCCCCGAGUCUAAGUGUAUGGCAGAUUCACCGCAUAAUCUUUAUGACAAAUGAUAUGCUCAUCAUUUAUUAAUUGAUUAUUGAAGGACACACCCAGGGCCCACGGCACUUGCGCUCCUGGCAAGUCCUCUGGAACCAAACAAUUUAGUAAAAGUUAGCAGCUUACUCUGUCUUGCACAUGGAAAGUUUCUCGGUUUCUGUUGCGUGAAGAUGAUUUAGAUAGUUUAACGAUCAAUGGGCAUAAACAGAGUAUGGUGCCGUGCAGUAUAUUAUGACACGACAACACCCAUUUACGAAGUAGAAAGAUACUAUAUACGUGCAGGUCCUGGUCGGCCAAGUUGCCGCUUCAACAUUCCUACCAGGUUUAUUAAUACCUCAAGGAUAUAGGCAAUUACUAACUUGCAUGGAUAAAGAAUUUGAUGCCCACGAAUGUCUUAUCUGCUCAUUUGCUUAGUCGUGAUAGAAGCAAUAGGUUCAGAUGAGGACUAUAAGCGGAAGCUAGACAUACCUGAUUUUUCUGCAUUUCCAUAAAUUCAGCCUGUA